Molecule: long non-coding RNA, 421 nt
Organism: Musca domestica (house fly)
Lineage: Eukaryota; Metazoa; Arthropoda; Insecta; Diptera; Muscidae
Exons: 2
Source: RefSeq, a predicted model, not a curated record
UAAAAAUUUAGUUCUUAAUAUUCAUUGUUGAAAGAAAGAAAUUGUUGAUUACCUCGGAUCUAUGGAUGGACAUUUGCUGCAGAAACUAAAUACUCACAAUCCGUUUGAAUUGGAAAUACCAAAUUCAGGUUAUUUCAAUACUUUUAUGUAGAAUCCGCUUCGUUGAUGAUGCCAAACGGGCAUGAAUACUAUAAAAUAUCUAGCAUCAAUCCCAAGUAAGCUUGUAAAGAACAACAAUAUGGCCACAAACCUCAAACAUACGCGCAGUCCAAGCCCAAAUUGGAAAAACCUGUAAAUUAAAUUGUUUAUCAAAAUACUUAAAAAUAGCAAUUUGAAAAAGUAUCAGUCGGUUUUUCCUACAGAUGUACAUUCUCAGCCAAUGUUCGAAUAUUUAAAUAUAUUUUGACUUCUGUUACGAUUA